GGCUUCCUUCCCUCACCCUAAAGGACCUGUGCCAUCAAUGUCCCAGCAUGGCUCAGGGCCCAAACCCAUUUAACUGUGAUGGCAGCCCAGUCACGGCUUGGUUCCAAGCUCCAGCAGAGCAGAACAAAAGGUUACUGGAUGCCAGCGUGUGGGGCCAGAAAAACCAUCUAACAAAAGCGGUCUAAAAAAGACUUGACAACGUGUUUUACCCACAGCAAAGUGUGCCCAAACAUUUCAAACCAGACCUGUCAACAAAGAAUGUGUUUGCAAACCAGACAGAAUUUAAAAUAAACUUCAGCCAGCAAAUGA
Long non-coding RNA from Suricata suricatta (meerkat), 309 nucleotides. RefSeq lists it as uncharacterized. The transcript has 2 exons. The record is from RefSeq and is a predicted model, not a curated record. NCBI's taxonomy places the organism in Eukaryota, Metazoa, Chordata, Mammalia, Carnivora, Herpestidae.